This 274-nucleotide ribosomal RNA is filed under the name uncultured bacterium. Its description in RNAcentral is "partial 16S ribosomal RNA". It matches the Rfam family "Bacterial small subunit ribosomal RNA", at positions 523 to 796 of the family's 1533-position model. The record is from RNAcentral.
AUACGGAGGGGGCUAGCGUUGUUCGGAUUUACUGGGCGUAAAGCGCACGUAGGCGGUAUAUCAAGUUAGGCGUGAAAGCCCCGGGCUCAACCCGGGAACUGCGCUUAUUACUGAUAAACUGGAGUCCGGGAGAGGGUGGCGGAAUUCCCAGUGUAGAGGUGAAAUUCGUAGAUAUUGGGAAGAACACCAGUUGCGAAGGCGGCCACCUGGACCGGUACUGACGCUGAGGUGCGAAAGCGUGGGGAGCAAACAGGAUUAGAAACCCUGGUAGUCC